Molecule: transfer RNA, 72 nt
Filed under: Ictidomys tridecemlineatus (thirteen-lined ground squirrel)
Lineage: Eukaryota; Metazoa; Chordata; Mammalia; Rodentia; Sciuridae
Description: Spermophilus tridecemlineatus (thirteen-lined ground squirrel) tRNA
Rfam family: tRNA
About the family: Transfer RNA (tRNA) molecules are approximately 80 nucleotides in length. Their secondary structure includes four short double-helical elements and three loops (D, anti-codon, and T loops). Further hydrogen bonds mediate the characteristic L-shaped molecular structure. tRNAs have two regions of fundamental functional importance: the anti-codon, which is responsible for specific mRNA codon recognition, and the 3' end, to which the tRNAs corresponding amino acid is attached (by aminoacyl-tRNA synthetases). tRNAs cope with the degeneracy of the genetic code in two manners: having more than one tRNA (with a specific anti-codon) for a particular amino acid; and 'wobble' base-pairing, i.e. permitting non-standard base-pairing at the 3rd anti-codon position.
Source: Rfam by way of RNAcentral
GGGGAUAUAGCUCAGUGGUAGAGUGCUUUCCUCACAUGCCCAAGGCCCUGGGUUCAUUCCCUGGUACCCCCC